RNAcentral lists this ribosomal RNA (467 nucleotides) under uncultured bacterium. RNAcentral's name for it is "partial 16S ribosomal RNA". It matches the Rfam family "Bacterial small subunit ribosomal RNA", at positions 28 to 507 of the family's 1533-position model. The record is from RNAcentral.
GAUGAACGCUGGCGGCGCGCCUAACACAUGCAAGUCGAACGGUUAAAGCACCUUCGGGUGUGUAUAAAGUGGCGAACGGCUGAGUAACACGUGGGCAACCUGCCCCUUUCAUUGGGAUAGCCACGGGAAACCGUGGAUAAUACCGAAUACUUCGAGACUUCCGCAUGGAAGACUCGAGAAAGCUUCGGCGGAGAGGGAUGGGCCCGCGGCCUGUUAGCUUGUUGGUGGGGUAACGGCCUACCAAGGCAAUGAUGGGUAGCUGGGUUGAGAGACCGACCAGCCAGAUUGGGACUGAGACACGGCCCAGACUCCUACGGGAGGCAGCAGUGGGGAAUCUUGCACAAUGGGCGAAAGCCUGAUGCAGCGACGCCGCGUGCGGGAUGAAGGCCUUCGGGUUGUAAACCGCUUUCAGCAGGGACGAGGCGAAAGUGACGGUACCUGCAGAAGAAGCCCCGGCUAACUACGUG